This is a small nucleolar RNA of Pectinophora gossypiella (pink bollworm), 71 nucleotides long. The record is from RefSeq and is a predicted model, not a curated record. Lineage: Eukaryota; Metazoa; Arthropoda; Insecta; Lepidoptera; Gelechiidae.
UUACUAUGAUGACUUAUUUCAGUUCUGCUUCUGAAUUUGUUUGAAGAAAGCUAUACCCACAAUUCUGAUGU